RNAcentral lists this ribosomal RNA (549 nucleotides) under Saccharomyces cerevisiae (brewer's yeast). RNAcentral's name for it is "eukaryotic LSU rRNA". It matches the Rfam family "Eukaryotic large subunit ribosomal RNA", at positions 87 to 650 of the family's 3401-position model. Lineage: Eukaryota; Fungi; Ascomycota; Saccharomycetes; Saccharomycetales; Saccharomycetaceae. The record is from RNAcentral.
CGGCGAGUGAAGCGGCAAAAGCUCAAAUUUGAAAUCUGGUACCUUCGGUGCCCGAGUUGUAAUUUGGAGAGGGCAACUUUGGGGCCGUUCCUUGUCUAUGUUCCUUGGAACAGGACGUCAUAGAGGGUGAGAAUCCCGUGUGGCGAGGAGUGCGGUUCUUUGUAAAGUGCCUUCGAAGAGUCGAGUUGUUUGGGAAUGCAGCUCUAAGUGGGUGGUAAAUUCCAUCUAAAGCUAAAUAUUGGCGAGAGACCGAUAGCGAACAAGUACAGUGAUGGAAAGAUGAAAAGAACUUUGAAAAGAGAGUGAAAAAGUACGUGAAAUUGUUGAAAGGGAAGGGCAUUUGAUCAGACAUGGUGUUUUGUGCCCUCUGCUCCUUGUGGGUAGGGGAAUCUCGCAUUUCACUGGGCCAGCAUCAGUUUUGGUGGCAGGAUAAAUCCAUAGGAAUGUAGCUUGCCUCGGUAAGUAUUAUAGCCUGUGGGAAUACUGCCAGCUGGGACUGAGGACUGCGACGUAAGUCAAGGAUGCUGGCAUAAUGGUUAUAUGCCGCCC